RNAcentral lists this long non-coding RNA (353 nucleotides) under Mus spicilegus (steppe mouse). RNAcentral describes it as "lncRNA (ENSMSIG00000013563.1)". The record is from RNAcentral. Lineage: Eukaryota; Metazoa; Chordata; Mammalia; Rodentia; Muridae.
UAUCUCCCAAGAUUUAAAAUUAUAACUAUUCAUUUUUCAGUUCAGAGAAGAGGCGAAUCGAUCAACAAGUUGAAGAAGUGGGGAAUGCACAAUGAAGGCAUAUGUGAAACAGUCACAGAAUCCUCUCACUGGCAAGUUACUCUACUAAAGAACAUGAAGACCUGUUACUCCAAUGGGACAGUACAAUUGUUAAACUUUCAUCCUUGAGGACCUGAGAUGAUAUAACUCGUGGGAGUGAAUGGAUAAAGAUGUGUCAAGUACCUGUUAUCUUCUGAAAACUAAGUGAGAACUGAGAAGGGACAAGCUAAUUCUGUAAGGUCGGGAGUUUAUUUUUGUUGUGUUUUGUUUUACUU